GGUGGGUGUGUUGUCGCUCCAUCUGGGGAGGGAAG
This 35-nucleotide ribosomal RNA is filed under the name Mycobacterium terrae. RNAcentral describes it as "Mycolicibacter terrae partial 23S ribosomal RNA". Lineage: Bacteria; Bacillati; Actinomycetota; Actinomycetes; Mycobacteriales; Mycobacteriaceae. The record is from RNAcentral.